This 2542-nucleotide long non-coding RNA is filed under the name Sus scrofa (pig). Its description in RNAcentral is "lncRNA (ENSSSCG00025014348.1)". Lineage: Eukaryota; Metazoa; Chordata; Mammalia; Artiodactyla; Suidae. The record is from RNAcentral.
ACACGGCAAUGGGCGUCUUUCCUUGGGCUGCGUGUGCAGAGCGUAGACAAUGAAAAUCUCCAUCCCCCUCCCCCAUCCCCGCUAGACUACAAGAUUUUUCUUUUCGUUCCUUAUCAACGGUGGAAGAUGUGCAAAAUCAAAUACACAGAGCUGUGCAUUUAUUUUUAAAAUAAAUAAAGCAAACGGGCUGAGACGCGGAUUACCCAAACGCGCACCGGCUGGGCGCGUUGCGGGGUCUCUGCGUUAGACCGGUUCUCAGCGGUUUCUGCAGCCACAGCCUGGCUCUACGCCUCCCCCCGGGCCGCGGGGGCGGAGAAUCCUCCCUUCCUCGGACACUGGAGCCGGAGCGGACCUUGCCCUCCCGCGGACCGCGCGGUAGGGGACGCCGAGAAAAGAGCCCCUGCGCCCGCCGCCUCCGGCCCGCCGCGCAGAGGGCUCCGCCCGUAGAGGUCAACUCCCCUCACCCUUUCGGCUCUCCUGAUCGCCCUCCCUCCGCCCGGCCCAGGCUCCGCCAGCCUCCCGACUCGGGCCGCAGUCUGAGGAGUGCGCCUCCGCUGCGCUGCUCUGAACCUUAACCCCGAGCCGGGCCCAGACCCGAGGUCCGCGCACCCCGGCGGUGGGGAAGCCUUAGCGAGCAGCCUUUUCUCUGCAGCAAAGCUGUAGGAAGACCAGAUGGGCCGCGCAGCUCUCUCGGGACUAGGCAGGAAAAAUGGAAGAGAACUAACUAAAAGAGCUUCUCCAUUGUCCAAGAGAUGCUGCCCAGCAUGAAGAGCAUGAACCAAUAUUUACCAUUCAAAUCUGUUUCCAAUUUAUAGACGUGAACAGUGACUCUCCAUAAUACGAAGGAGAAAAUAUCCUGGGAGCUAGUUUAAAAAUUUAGGUUUUUAGGUCCCAUCCUCGGAGAUUCAGUUUCAGUAGGCAGGUCUGAGACGCAUUUAAAGAAGCAGCACAACUGGUUCUGAUGUGAUUGAUCUACAUUCUGAGGAAUUCUGGAUCAGCUCUCCAAGCAUCUCUGUAGCUCUACACUUUAUGGUUAUGAAUGAAAAUAAAUUAAUAAUUUUAAGAUAAUGAAUCUGAUCACUAGGAAAGCAGAGCCAGAAAGAAUUGAAAUUUGCGGCAAAUCUUAGUUAUGACAAGGGGAGGAAGUCUGGAUUCUACAAGAAGCAACGCCAAGUAGUUAUGUUGCGAGCCACACGGGAAGUCCAUGGAUUCUUCAAGAAGUAAAUGCCAAGAUGGAAUUAAAUGUACAAUGUCUUUAUUAGGGAAAAUGCCUGUGUGAGAGAAAACAGUGGGCAGCAGGUUUUACAGCUUGGCAAACUGUCAGACAGCAGGGCUGGUCCAACCUCCAAUAAAAAGAGAAGGGAAGGUGGGCUGCGGUGUCCUAGAAUAAAAUUCCAUCUAAGGAAGGUUUGUCAAGGUCACCUGGAAGUCGUUGAACCAGCUGGCCAUCAGAAGAGUCUAGGUCUUCCAAAAAGAUGCCUGCUCUGGGAUCCUUCCUACAGCUAGUCAGAGGCUAGGAGCCUCUGGACACAAUGAUGGAUUUUAGAGCAUAGGUGCUGGGUCCCUUGGUUAAUCACUGUAGUUGGAGGUGCUGGGUCCCUCCCUCCCUGUAGUUGUAGGACUCUGAGGUGUAUUCUCAUAACUGCCACAGAGGUGAAUCAUCAUUAAUAAAAAUGAUUGUUAAUCAAAAGUCAUUUUUAAUAAAAGUGAGUCAGUUGCUAGGAAAUGUAACCAAAAUUUAUCAUCACAUUAAAGAAAACCCAUAAUUGAUAUGAACAGGAUCAGCAAUCAAAGAUGAGGGUGAUUCAAGAGGUAUAAAAAUAACUACCUUGCUCCCAAAAUAUACGAGUUAGAAAAGGCUAGGUUACACUGUGAUGAUGAACCACCCCCAAACCUCAUUGGUUUAAAACAACAAAGGUUGGUAUCUUACUCCAACUACAAGCCUGGUAUAGGUUAGAAGAAGGACUCUGUUCAUAUUUUUGUCCCAGGAAGUCCAACAAUGGAAGCUUUGCUAUCUAAAGAUGGCAACCUUUCAAACAUGUGAACUUCUGCAACAGUAUUUCAGGGAAAGAGGUGGCUGGAGAUUCAAGUACAGGCAGGUGUUUUGACCCAAAAGUUAUAAACAUCACUUCCAUUCAAUUUUAUUGGCUAGAACUUGUCACGUGGCCAUUCAAAGAAUUGGAAUUUUCCUUGUAUCUGGAAAUGGAAGAUAGGAGAUACUGGCAAAUAAUGGUGCUUACCAAAAUAAGACUUCUUGCAAUCCUAUCACUUGUACAUCGUGGCUGAUUACCCCAUCUCUAAGAGUCCUUGAAUUCAGGAAUUUAGUGUGACUGAAUCUCAAGCUGUGUUCAGAUUUUUUGCAUUUUUGCAUUUUUGAAGGCAGUUAGGUAUGGUGGAUAGGGCAUACCCACAGAGUCAAGGACCCUCAGUAUAAAAAAUAGUCUCUUUCUCUGAACUACUGUAUGAUUUUGGACAUUCAUCUUACCUUUCUGGGCUCUUAUUUUCUCACUUAAAAAAUAAAAGGACGGAAUUAGGUAACUAA